UGCACACAGUGUGAAAGAAACCGUAGGUGGUACAGCGGCUCACUGCCAUGGAGUAGUCAUUGUGUCAUUCAAGUCUCCUGAGUCUCUUGAAAGGGUCAUCAGGGACGUUGUCAUGGAAACCAUGAACGGAAUUAUUGCUGUAUUGAAGGGCUGGAAAGAGGGGUUGGAGGUAGCAGAGCAGCUUCGGGUGAGGCCUGAGAGACGGGGCUUCUUGUUGUUUUCACAGCCAGUGAGGGAAGAGUUCCCUCCUCAGACAUCAAUCCACAGGCUGGAACCUCUUAGCUUUGCUGUUCACAUUCAUGACUGACCCAACCAGCACUUUGAUUUGAGGUUAAGCAUUAAACCACAGACACUGAAACUUCGCAGUCUUCUGCCUCCACACGUGCGAGGUGAGGGGACUGUGACAGAGGAGCAACCUGCAGGCGACGAGGCUGGAGAACAACGCGGCAGCUCAGCUGGGAGCACACGGCACCAUCUCCCUCUUACAAAGCAUCCAUCCGGAUGGGAGUGCUCCAGCUGUGGUGCUCCCACUUCCUAGACUCGGGUAAGAGCAGAGACCCUGACCUCAUGUAAGAAACGGAUUGAAAUGGGGAAACAGAGAUAAGCCAUCUCCAUCAUGAAAAUCUGGAGAUCUGGUGCCAAAGCUGUUCACCAAAAGAGAUUUGCAUCUGGACCAGUGUCUCUGCCACACCGUCACAUACAGUCCCAGGAAGGGAGCUUAUUCAGGAUAUGAAAGGAGUGAUGGCUUCCUGAACUGGUGGCUUUGUCCUGCCUGAAGGGUAUUUGAUCACACUGUGAAACUCUGAGGCUGUGUUGAUAAAAUUACCCUUGGAUCAGGGGGCAGAAGCUGUGACUAGUUGAGAUGCUAAUCAACUCUUGGAUAUAGAUGUUUGCUGCAUUUGGUUCCUCGCCUUCCUCUCCACUUCAUCAGGCAAAUCCAGCCACAUAUGGACUCAUUUUUAAGGAUUAGACAUGACCCAGCAGAUGCACAAAUGAAUUCAUAGUGACUGUGACCCGUGUGCACAAGACCUGAGCCACCUCAUGGCAGACAAAAUCCCAGUGUGGAAUGGGACAGGACCAGGGCAUGUGGACAGUCGCUACUCCACCAACAUCAAGCUACUGUUCUCUGGAAGACAGCCUUCCUUUUAAUCGUCAUCUAUCUCAGAAUAUUUGAAAAAUAAGUGUUAUCCCCACUUUUUGAAACACACCACAGGGCUUGUACAAGCAGAAGUUGUUU
This is a long non-coding RNA of Mesocricetus auratus (golden hamster), 1237 nucleotides long. RefSeq lists it as uncharacterized. The record is from RefSeq and is a predicted model, not a curated record. The transcript is spliced from 6 exons. Lineage: Eukaryota; Metazoa; Chordata; Mammalia; Rodentia; Cricetidae.